CAGAGUCUUUGAUAGAGGAAAAAGCUGAGUAUUAUGAUGAUGCGAAAACUACCAGUGACCUGACAGAGGAGAUGCUGACACUGGACUCUCCAGAGAGCUAUGAUGAUGUCAUCACUUCAGGACAGAACCCAGACAGUGUGAUGGAGGAAAAUGUGACAGAGGCUCCACCAGAGCGCUAUGAUGAUGUCAUCACUGUAGGGAGGAAGUCUGGAAGUG
This is a long non-coding RNA of Chanos chanos (milkfish), 216 nucleotides long. RefSeq lists it as uncharacterized. The record is from RefSeq and is a predicted model, not a curated record. The transcript is spliced from 3 exons. NCBI's taxonomy places the organism in Eukaryota, Metazoa, Chordata, Actinopteri, Gonorynchiformes, Chanidae.